GACGAACGCUGGCGGCGUGCUUAACACAUGCAAGUCGAGCGAACAGACCCUGCUUUUGCUCCUUUCUCGAGUGGCGCGGACGGGUGAGUCACAUGUGUAUAAUCUACCUAUCUGAGUGGGAUCAUCUCGGGAAUCCGGCGCUUACACGGUAUAAUAUAUUGAUCCGCAGGGUGCAAUGGUGAAAUACGGCUUUUGUGGCUGUUAUAGCUGGUUCCGCGCUGCAUUAGCUAGUUGGUAAGGUCACGGCUUACCAAGGCAACGAUGCGUAGCCGACCUGAGAGGGUGAUCGGCCACACUAGAACUGAGACACGGUCCAGACUCCUACGGGAGGCAGCAGUAGGGAAUCUUCCGCAAUGGGCGAAAGCCUGACGGAGCAACGCCGCGUGAGUGAUGAAGGUCUUCGGAUCGUAAAACUCUGUUAUUAGGGAAGAACAAAUGUGUAAGUAACUAAGCACGUCUUGACGGUACCUAAUCAGAAAGCCCCGGCUAACUACGUG
This 497-nucleotide ribosomal RNA is filed under the name uncultured bacterium. RNAcentral describes it as "partial 16S ribosomal RNA". It matches the Rfam family "Bacterial small subunit ribosomal RNA", at positions 28 to 507 of the family's 1533-position model. The record is from RNAcentral.